Molecule: transfer RNA, 362 nt
Filed under: uncultured Microcystis sp.
Lineage: Bacteria; Bacillati; Cyanobacteriota; Cyanophyceae; Chroococcales; Microcystaceae
Description: partial 16S-23S ribosomal RNA intergenic spacer
Rfam family: tRNA (bases 135-208)
Source: RNAcentral
AAGGGAGACCUAAUUCAGGUAGGAGACGAAAAAAAAGUAGUCCCAACCAAGAAUCAAUCCCAAAAGGUCGGAGCGAGGCGAAAUUGGCCUUCAAACUAGGUUCUGGGUUCACACAAGACCUGAAUCAGGAACAAGGGCUAUUAGCUCAGGUGGUUAGAGCGCACCCCUGAUAAGGGUGAGGUCCCUGGUUCGAGUCCAGGAUGGCCCACCUGCACAGGUGGCAAAAACAAGAGAAGCGAGGAAUCAGCACCUUAUCUUAUCUAUAUAUAUAUAGGAGAGAAUGCUGGCUCUGAGUAAAGAGUCCAGAGGAACCUUGAAAACUGCAUAGAGCUAGGUGAAAAAGCCAAAAAAGAAGACCGCAA